GUAGACCUUACAGUGAAAUGCUGAAUACAACAGGUGUAGGUAGACCUUACAGUGAAAUGCUGAAUACAACAGGUGUAGGUAGACCUUACAGUGAAAUGCUGAAUACAACAGGUGUAGUUAGACCUUACAGUGAAAUGCUGAAUACAACAGGUGUAGUAGACCUUACAGUGAAAUGCUGAAUACAACAGGUGUAGUAGACCUUACAGUGAAAUGCUGAAUACAACAGGUGUAGUAGACCUUAGUGAAAUGCUGAAUACAACAGGUGUAGUAGACCUUAGUGAAAUGCUGAAUACAACAGGUGUAGUAGACCUUAGUGAAAUGCUGAAUACAAC
Molecule: long non-coding RNA, 332 nt
Organism: Oncorhynchus tshawytscha (Chinook salmon)
Lineage: Eukaryota; Metazoa; Chordata; Actinopteri; Salmoniformes; Salmonidae
Source: Ensembl